AGACCCGAAACCCGGUGAUCUAGCCAUGGGCAGGUUGAAGGUUGGGUAACACUAACUGGAGGACCGAACCGACUAAUGUUGAAAAAUUAGCGGAUGACCUGUGGCUGGGGGUGAAAGGCCAAUCAAACCGGGAGAUAGCUGGUUCUCCCCGAAAGCUAUUUAGGUAGCGCCUCGUGAAUUCAUCUCCGGGGGUAGAGCACUGUUUCGGCUAGGGGGCCAUCCCGGCUUACCAACCCGAUGCAAACUGCGAAUACCGGAGAAUGUUAUCACGGGAGACACACGGCGGGUGCUAACGUCCGUCGUGAAGAGGGAAACAACCCAGACCGCCAGCUAAGGUCCCAAAGUCAUGGUUAAGUGGGAAACGAUGUGGGAAGGCCCAGACAGCCAGGAUGUUGGCUUAGAAGCAGCCAUCAUUUAAAGAAAGCGUAAUAGCUCACUGGUCGAGUCGGCCUGCGCGGAAGAUGUAACGGGGCUAAACCAUGCACCGAAGCUGCGGCAGCGACGCUUAUGCGUUGUUGGGUAGGGGAGCGUUCUGUAAGCCUGCGAAGGUGGCCUGUGAGGGUUGCUGGAGGUAUCAGAAGUGCGAAUGCUGACAUAAGUAACGAUAAAGCGGGUGAAAAGCCCGCUCGCCGGAAGACCAAGGGUUCCUGUCCAACGUUAAUCGGGGCAGGGUGAGUCGACCCCUAAGGCGAGGCCGAAAGGCGUAGUCGAUGGGAAACGGGUUAAUAUUCCCGUACUUGGUGUUACUGCGAAGGGGGGACGGAGAAGGCUAUGUUGGCCGGGCGACGGUUGUCCCGGUUUAAGCGUGUAGGUGUGUGUUCCAGGUAAAUCCGGUUCACUUUAACACUGAGGCGUGACGACGAGGCACUACGGUGCUGAAGCAACAAAUGCCCUGCUUCCAGGAAAAGCCUCUAAGCAUCAGGUAACAUCAAAUCGUACCCCAAACCGACACAGGUGGUCAGGUAGAGAAUACCAAGGCGCUUGAGAGAACUCGGGUGAAGGAACUAGGCAAAAUGGUGCCGUAACUUCGGGAGAAGGCACGCUGACACGUAGGUGAAGUGAUUUACUCAUGGAGCUGAAGUCAGUCGAAGAUACCAGCUGGCUGCAACUGUUUAUUAAAAACACAGCACUGUGCAAACACGAAAGUGGACGUAUACGGUGUGACGCCUGCCCGGUGCCGGAAGGUUAAUUGAUGGGGUCAGCGCAAGCGAAGCUCCUGAUCGAAGCCCCGGUAAACGGCGGCCGUAACUAUAACGGUCCUAAGGUAGCGAAAUUCCUUGUCGGGUAAGUUCCGACCUGCACGAAUGGCGUAAUGAUGGCCAGGCUGUCUCCACCCGAGACUCAGUGAAAUUGAACUCGCUGUGAAGAUGCAGUGUACCCGCGGCAAGACGGAAAGACCCCGUGAACCUUUACUAUAGCUUGACACUGAACAUUGAGCCUUGAUGUGUAGGAUAGGUGGGAGGCUUUGAAGUGUGGACGCCAGUCUGCAUGGAGCCGACCUUGAAAUACCACCCUUUAAUGUUUGAUGUUCUAACGUGGACCCGUUACCCGGGUUGCGGACAGUGUCUGGUGGGUAGUUUGACUGGGGCGGUCUCCUCCUAAAGAGUAACGGAGGAGCACGAAGGUUGGCUAAUCCUGGUCGGACAUCAGGAGGUUAGUGCAAUGGCAUAAGCCAGCUUGACUGCGAGCGUGACGGCGCGAGCAGGUGCGAAAGCAGGUCAUAGUGAUCCGGUGGUUCUGAAUGGAAGGGCCAUCGCUCAACGGAUAAAAGGUACUCCGGGGAUAACAGGCUGAUACCGCCCAAGAGUUCAUAUCGACGGCGGUGUUUGGCACCUCGAUGUCGGCUCAUCACAUCCUGGGGCUGAAGUAGGUCCCAAGGGUAUGGCUGUUCGCCAUUUAAAGUGGUACGCGAGCUGGGUUUAGAACGUCGUGAGACAGUUCGGUCCCUAUCUGCCGUGGGCGCUGGAGAACUGAGGGGGGCUGCUCCUAGUACGAGAGGACCGGAGUGGACGCAUCACUGGUGUUCGGGUUGUCAUGCCAAUGGCACUGCCCGGUAGCUAAAUGCGGAAGAGAUAAGUGCUGAAAGCAUCUAAGCACGAAACUUGCCCCGAGAUGAGUUCUCCCUGAGACUUAGAGUCUCCUGAAGGAACGUUGAAGACGACGACGUUGAUAGGCCGGGUGUGUAAGCGCAGCGAUGCGUUGAGCUAACCGGUACUAAUGAACCGUGAGGCUUAACCUUACAACGCCGAAG
RNAcentral lists this ribosomal RNA (2251 nucleotides) under Salmonella enterica. RNAcentral's name for it is "partial 23S ribosomal RNA". It matches the Rfam family "Bacterial large subunit ribosomal RNA", at positions 711 to 2925 of the family's 2925-position model. The record is from RNAcentral. Lineage: Bacteria; Pseudomonadati; Pseudomonadota; Gammaproteobacteria; Enterobacterales; Enterobacteriaceae. RNAcentral also lists the same sequence under 1 other name.